RNAcentral lists this long non-coding RNA (328 nucleotides) under Panax ginseng (ginseng). RNAcentral's name for it is "long non-coding RNA (PGIN_LNC018509)". Lineage: Eukaryota; Viridiplantae; Streptophyta; Magnoliopsida; Apiales; Araliaceae. The record is from RNAcentral.
UCUUCACAAGGAGGUACGUUUUAUUCAUAUAUACACAUUCACACGACAUAUAGAAAAUAAUCUCUCUCAUUACACUAGAUUUAUCAUCCUCUUGAGUUAACUUUGUGAACAGACAUACUUAUUCUCACGCCUGAGCUAUCCCCCGGUGGUCCGGCCGUCAAGCUUGUGGUGUUUGUCGUGUUUACUGUGCAGGAUCAGGACGUCUUUCGUGAUUGGGACGUGGAGAAAGAUCUUGGCGUUAACAUUGGCGCUAGAAGGAGGGGCUUUGUUUUAAUGUCUUGAGUAUUUUUCAAUCACAGAGUGUGUUUUAUUCUAUUCAUUUUUCAUG